UACGUAGGGUGCGAGCGUUAAUCGGAAUUACUGGGCGUAAAGCGUGCGCAGGCGGUUUUGUAAGCCAGAUGUGAAAUCCCCGGGCUUAACCUGGGAAUGGCAUUUGGGACUGCAAGGCUGGAGUGCGGCAGAGGAGACUGGAAUUCCUGGUGUAGCAGUGAAAUGCGCAGAUAUCAGGAGGAACACCGGUGGCGAAGGCGGGUCUCUGGGCCGAUACUGACGCUGAGGAGCGAAAGCGUGGGGAGCGAUCCGG
Molecule: ribosomal RNA, 253 nt
Filed under: uncultured bacterium
Lineage: Bacteria
Description: partial 16S ribosomal RNA
Rfam family: Bacterial small subunit ribosomal RNA
Source: RNAcentral